Molecule: ribosomal RNA, 216 nt
Filed under: Clostridioides difficile
Lineage: Bacteria; Bacillati; Bacillota; Clostridia; Peptostreptococcales; Peptostreptococcaceae
Description: partial 23S ribosomal RNA
Rfam family: Bacterial large subunit ribosomal RNA
Source: RNAcentral
ACGCGAGCUGGGUUCAGAACGUCGUGAGACAGUUCGGUCCCUAUCCGUCGCAGGCGUAGGAAAUUUGAGAAGACCUGUCCUUAGUACGGGAGGACCGGGAUGGACGUACCUCUGGUGUAAAAGUUGGCCUGCUAAGGGCAUGGGUGGGUAGCUAUGUACGGAAUGGAUAAGCGCUGAAAGCAUCUAAGCGCGAAGCCAACUUCAAGAUAAGAUUUC